UUUUUUCCUUCUUCUU
Molecule: small RNA, 16 nt
Filed under: Arabidopsis thaliana (thale cress)
Lineage: Eukaryota; Viridiplantae; Streptophyta; Magnoliopsida; Brassicales; Brassicaceae
Description: ATSL019360
Source: RNAcentral